UUAAGCGACUAAGCGUACACGGUGGAUGCCCUGGCAGUCAGAGGCGAUGAAGGACGUGCUAAUCUGCGAUAAGCGUCGGUAAGGUGAUAUGAACCGUUAUAACCGGCGAUUUCCGAAUGGGGAAACCCAGUGUGUUUCGACACACUAUCAUUAACUGAAUCCAUAGGUUAAUGAGGCGAACCGGGGGAACUGAAACAUCUAAGUACCCCGAGGAAAAGAAAUCAACCGAGAUUCCCCCAGUAGCGGCGAGCGAACGGGGAGCAGCCCAGAGCCUGAAUCAGUGUGUGUGUUAGUGGAAGCGUCUGGAAAGGCGCGCGAUACAGGGUGACAGCCCCGUACACAAAAAUGCACAUGCUGUGAGCUCGAUGAGUAGGGCGGGACACGUGGUAUCCUGUCUGAAUAUGGGGGGACCAUCCUCCAAGGCUAAAUACUCCUGACUGACCGAUAGUGAACCAGUACCGUGAGGGAAAGGCGAAAAGAACCCCGGCGAGGGGAGUGAAAAAGAACCUGAAACCGUGUACGUACAAGCAGUGGGAGCACGCUUAGGCGUGUGACUGCGUACCUUUUGUAUAAUGGGUCAGCGACUUAUAUUCUGUAGCAAGGUUAACCGAAUAGGGGAGCCGAAGGGAAACCGAGUCUUAACUGGGCGUUAAGUUGCAGGGUAUAGACCCGAAACCCGGUGAUCUAGCCAUGGGCAGGUUGAAGGUUGGGUAACACUAACUGGAGGACCGAACCGACUAAUGUUGAAAAAUUAGCGGAUGACUUGUGGCUGGGGGUGAAAGGCCAAUCAAACCGGGAGAUAGCUGGUUCUCCCCGAAAGCUAUUUAGGUAGCGCCUCGUGAAUUCAUCUCCGGGGGUAGAGCACUGUUUCGGCAAGGGGGUCAUCCCGACUUACCAACCCGAUGCAAACUGCGAAUACCGGAGAAUGUUAUCACGGGAGACACACGGCGGGUGCUAACGUCCGUCGUGAAGAGGGAAACAACCCAGACCGCCAGCUAAGGUCCCAAAGUCAUGGUUAAGUGGGAAACGAUGUGGGAAGGCCCAGACAGCCAGGAUGUUGGCUUAGAAGCAGCCAUCAUUUAAAGAAAGCGUAAUAGCUCACUGGUCGAGUCGGCCUGCGCGGAAGAUGUAACGGGGCUAAACCAUGCACCGAAGCUGCGGCAGCGACGCUUAUGCGUUGUUGGGUAGGGGAGCGUUCUGUAAGCCUGCGAAGGUGUGCUGUGAGGCAUGCUGGAGGUAUCAGAAGUGCGAAUGCUGACAUAAGUAACGAUAAAGCGGGUGAAAAGCCCGCUCGCCGGAAGACCAAGGGUUCCUGUCCAACGUUAAUCGGGGCAGGGUGAGUCGACCCCUAAGGCGAGGCCGAAAGGCGUAGUCGAUGGGAAACAGGUUAAUAUUCCUGUACUUGGUGUUACUGCGAAGGGGGGACGGAGAAGGCUAUGUUGGCCGGGCGACGGUUGUCCCGGUUUAAGCGUGUAGGCUGGUUUUCCAGGCAAAUCCGGAAAAUCAAGGCUGAGGCGUGAUGACGAGGCACUACGGUGCUGAAGCAACAAAUGCCCUGCUUCCAGGAAAAGCCUCUAAGCAUCAGGUAACAUCAAAUCGUACCCCAAACCGACACAGGUGGUCAGGUAGAGAAUACCAAGGCGCUUGAGAGAACUCGGGUGAAGGAACUAGGCAAAAUGGUGCCGUAACUUCGGGAGAAGGCACGCUGAUAUGUAGGUGAAGUCCCUCGCGGAUGGAGCUGAAAUCAGUCGAAGAUACCAGCUGGCUGCAACUGUUUAUUAAAAACACAGCACUGUGCAAACACGAAAGUGGACGUAUACGGUGUGACGCCUGCCCGGUGCCGGAAGGUUAAUUGAUGGGGUUAGCCGCAAGGCGAAGCUCUUGAUCGAAGCCCCGGUAAACGGCGGCCGUAACUAUAACGGUCCUAAGGUAGCGAAAUUCCUUGUCGGGUAAGUUCCGACCUGCACGAAUGGCGUAAUGAUGGCCAGGCUGUCUCCACCCGAGACUCAGUGAAAUUGAACUCGCUGUGAAGAUGCAGUGUACCCGCGGCAAGACGGAAAGACCCCGUGAACCUUUACUAUAGCUUGACACUGAACAUUGAGCCUUGAUGUGUAGGAUAGGUGGGAGGCUUUGAAGUGUGGACGCCAGUCUGCAUGGAGCCGACCUUGAAAUACCACCCUUUAAUGUUUGAUGUUCUAACGUUGACCCGUAAUCCGGGUUGCGGACAGUGUCUGGUGGGUAGUUUGACUGGGGCGGUCUCCUCCUAAAGAGUAACGGAGGAGCACGAAGGUUGGCUAAUCCUGGUCGGACAUCAGGAGGUUAGUGCAAUGGCAUAAGCCAGCUUGACUGCGAGCGUGACGGCGCGAGCAGGUGCGAAAGCAGGUCAUAGUGAUCCGGUGGUUCUGAAUGGAAGGGCCAUCGCUCAACGGAUAAAAGGUACUCCGGGGAUAACAGGCUGAUACCGCCCAAGAGUUCAUAUCGACGGCGGUGUUUGGCACCUCGAUGUCGGCUCAUCACAUCCUGGGGCUGAAGUAGGUCCCAAGGGUAUGGCUGUUCGCCAUUUAAAGUGGUACGCGAGCUGGGUUUAGAACGUCGUGAGACAGUUCGGUCCCUAUCUGCCGUGGGCGCUGGAGAACUGAGGGGGGCUGCUCCUAGUACGAGAGGACCGGAGUGGACGCAUCACUGGUGUUCGGGUUGUCAUGCCAAUGGCACUGCCCGGUAGCUAAAUGCGGAAGAGAUAAGUGCUGAAAGCAUCUAAGCACGAAACUUGCCCCGAGAUGAGUUCUCCCUGACUCCUUGAGAGUCCUGAAGGAACGUUGAAGACGACGACGUUGAUAGGCCGGGUGUGUAAGCGCAGCGAUGCGUUGAGCUAACCGGUACUAAUGAACCGUGAGGCUUAACCUU
This 2904-nucleotide ribosomal RNA is filed under the name Escherichia coli. RNAcentral describes it as "bacterial LSU rRNA". It matches the Rfam family "Bacterial large subunit ribosomal RNA". Lineage: Bacteria; Pseudomonadati; Pseudomonadota; Gammaproteobacteria; Enterobacterales; Enterobacteriaceae. The record is from RNAcentral.